GACGAACGCUGGCGGCGUGCUUAACACAUGCAAGUCGAACGGAAAGGCCCUGCUUUUGUGGGGUGCUCGAGUGGCGAACGGGUGAGUAACACGUGGGUAACCUGCCCUUGACUUUGGGAUAACUUCAGGAAACUGGGGCUAAUACCGGAUAGGAGCUCCUGCUGCUGGUGGGGGUUGGAAAGUUUCGGCGGUUGGGGAUGGACUCGCGGCUUAUCAGCUUGUUGGUGGGGUAGUGGCUUACCAAGGCUUUGACGGGUAGCCGGCCUGAGAGGGUGACCGGCCACAUUGGGACUGAGAUACGGCCCAGACUCCUACGGGAGGCAGCAGUGGGGAAUAUUGCACAAUGGGCGGAAGCCUGAUGCAGCAACGCCGCGUGCGGGAUGACGGCCUUCGGGUUGUAAACCGCUUUCGCCUGUGACGAAGCGUGAGUGACGGUAAUGGGUAAAGAAGCACCGGCUAACUACGUG
Molecule: ribosomal RNA, 467 nt
Filed under: uncultured bacterium
Lineage: Bacteria
Description: partial 16S ribosomal RNA
Rfam family: Bacterial small subunit ribosomal RNA
Source: RNAcentral